This 1556-nucleotide ribosomal RNA is filed under the name Trichoderma sp. 090209. RNAcentral describes it as "SSU rRNA". It matches the Rfam family "Eukaryotic small subunit ribosomal RNA", at positions 44 to 1639 of the family's 1831-position model. The record is from RNAcentral. Lineage: Eukaryota; Fungi; Ascomycota; Sordariomycetes; Hypocreales; Hypocreaceae.
UUAAGCCAUGCAUGUCUAAGUAUAAGCAAUUAUACAGCGAAACUGCGAACGGCUCAUUAUAUAAGUUAUCGUUUAUUUGAUAGUGCCUGUCCUACUUGGAUAACCGGGGUAAUUCUAGAGCUAAUACAGGCUAAAAAUCCCGACUUCGGAAGGGAGGUAUUUAUUAAAUUAAAACCCAAGGCCUUUCGGGGCUCUAUGGGGAUUCAUAAUAACUUCACGGAUCGCACGGCCUUGCCCCGGCAAUGGUUCAUUCAAAUUUCUUCCCUAUCAACUUUCAAUGUUGGGGUAUGGGCCAAACAUGGUGGCAACGGGUAACGAAGGGUAAGGGCUCGACCCCGGAAAAGGAGCCGGAAAAACGGCUACUACAUCCAAGGAAGGCAGCAGGCGCGCAAAUUACCCAAUCCCAACUCGGGAAGGUAGUGACAAUAAAUACUGAUACAGGGCUCUUUUGGGUCCUGUAAUUGGAAUGAGUACAAUUUAAAUCCCUUAACGAGGAACAUUGGGAGGGCAGGUCUGGUGCCAGCACCCGCGUUAUUCCAGCUCCAAUAGCGUAUAUAAAGUUGUGUGGUUAAAAGCUCGUAGUUGAACCUUGGCCUGGCUGGCCCGGUCCGCCUCACCGCGUGUACUGGUCUCGGCCGGGCCUUUCCCUCUGUGGAACUCCCAUGCCCUUCACUGGGUGUGGCAGGGAAACAGGACUUUUACUUUGAAAAAAUUAGAGUGCUCCCGGCAGGCCUUUGCUCGAAUACAUUAGCAUGGAAUAAUAAAAUAGGACGUGCGGUUCUAUUUUGUUGGUUUCUAGGACCGCCGUAAUGAUUAAUAGGGACAGUCGGGGGCAUCAGUAUUCCGCAGUUAGAGGUGAAAUUCUUGGAUCUGCGGAAGACUAACUGCUGCGAAAGCGUUUGUCAAGGAUGUUUUCAUUAAUCAGGAACGAAAGUCAGGGGAUCGAAGACGAUCAGAUACCGUCGUAGUCUUGACCAUAAACUAUGCCGACUAGGGAUCGGGCGAUGUUAUAUUUUGACUCGCUCGGCACCUUACGAGAAAUCAAAGUGCUUGGGCUCCAGGGGGAGUAUGGUCGCAAGGCUGAAACUUAAAGAAAUUGACGGAAGGGCACCACCAGGGGUGGAGCCGCGGCUUAAUUUGACUCAACACGGGGAAACUCACCAGGUCCAGACACAAUGAGGAUUGACAGAUUGAGAGCUCUUUCUUGAUUUUGUGGGUGGUGGUGCAUGGCCGUUCUUAGUUGGUGGAGUGAUUUGUCAGAUUAAUUUCGAUAACGAACGAGACCUUCACUGUUAACUAGCCCGUAUUGCUUUGGCAGUACGCUGGCUUCUUAGCGGGACUAUUGGCGCGAGCCAAUGGAAGUUGGAGGCGAUAACAGGUCUGUGAUGCCCUUAGAUGUUCUGGGCCGCACGCGCGCUACACUGACGGAGCCAGCGAGUACUUCCUUAACCGACAGGUUUGGGUAAUCUUGUGAAACUCCGUCGUGCUGGGGAUAGAGCGUUGCAAUUUUCACUCUUCAACGAGGAAUCCCUAGUAAGCGCAAGUCAUCAGCUUGC